RNAcentral lists this transfer RNA (71 nucleotides) under Streptococcus sp. RNAcentral describes it as "tRNA-Trp". It matches the Rfam family "tRNA". Rfam says of the family: Transfer RNA (tRNA) molecules are approximately 80 nucleotides in length. Their secondary structure includes four short double-helical elements and three loops (D, anti-codon, and T loops). Lineage: Bacteria; Bacillati; Bacillota; Bacilli; Lactobacillales; Streptococcaceae. The record is from RNAcentral.
AGGCUUUUCGUACAGUGGAAGUAUAAUGGUCUCCAAAACCAUGGACGGGGGUUCGAUUCCCUCAGAGUCUG